Molecule: transfer RNA, 74 nt
Filed under: Anguilla anguilla (European eel)
Lineage: Eukaryota; Metazoa; Chordata; Actinopteri; Anguilliformes; Anguillidae
Description: tRNA-OTHER
Source: RNAcentral
UGCAGUGUGGUACAGUGGUUAGUGAACUGGGCUUUUUACUAAGAGGUUGCUGGUUCAAUUCCCAGUUAGGGCAA